UGGCAUAACAGAGCCUCUGAUUGUGCCAGUAACAGCCAGUCAUCGAGGAAGUUCAAGAUGUGCACACUGCUCAGUUUCAGAGGGGAGAGAACCGCAUUGAUGAGUGUGUGAUUCAAAUGUCUCAGAUCCAGGAUCAGCCGGAGCCCGCUGUCCUUCUUUGGGACAAGAAAAUAACAGCUGUAAAACCCUUUUUGGACUUGACAAUUUGGCACAACCUCUGUCGUGCUUUUCACAAGGAGAUUGUGUAUUUCGGCUCGUAACACUGGCGUGUCUUCGGACGAAACCAUGGAAGACAGAACGCUGUUGAAACGGGGUGGCCGGCAUGCAAAUUGGAUCAUAUAACCAUGUUCGAUCGUUUUUUGCACCCUUUCUGAAAUACCUGUUAGGGCUCACCAUGCGUCCGCAUAAUGGGACAGAGGGCAAUUUGGUUUGCUCACCGUAUUGGGAAGUGGUUUACAGUAUGUUUGUGAGGUAAUAGUUUAAUCGAAUGUUUUUGCCAAUUUAAGCAGAUUACUAGAUCUGUGUUAAAUAUGUUAAGCUAUUUUUUAUAUUGGGAAGUUGUUGCGCAAAAUGUGUGUGCUUUGAAGAAGAAAAGGGCUCUUUAUUGAGAAUGUGUGAGCAUCUUGUGCAUUUGCAAUGAGAGCUGUAUUCUUUUUUGCAUUCAUUGCUUUUUUUAUUGCAUUUAUUUGAGUGCAAGUCAUAGAAACAACAUUUUGAACAAUAUUGUGAACAACAAUAUUCCUUUCCCGACAAACAGCAGUGGAGAGAUGGGGAACAGUGUUUAGUAUCUCCAAUCGAGCCUUCUUUGGAGCAGACCCGGAGGGAACCGCGGGCUCUGCUUUCUAAUUCAAAGGGCUGUGCCCAUCAGGAGCAUUUUUGCUGUAUGGGGGUUUUUUUUCGCCGGCACAAGGAGGGUACUGAUACAGCUGCUUCUGUCUGGUGGCUCGGUGGCGGCAGGCGGCAGGCGCCAGCGCUGAGGCUGCAGGUAUGGGGCUUUUAGUCAGGCACUGGCUCAAAACAGAGCGAGGGCGAACCAGCUGUGAUGUACUCCGUUUGGGCAUAAAGUGUCUCAUAGCCUGUGACUGUUGCUGAGUCGUGACGUAACGCUCAGCAAACUUAUUCACAGAGCCGCCAAAGAGGCCAGCUGGAGACAAUGGAGCAUCCAACAGAGUGGCUUUUUCCCUAUUACUCAUUUCUGUGAGGGUCAGCCAUAUAUUUCGAUCCAGAACUGCCAGGAUGCCCAUGGAUUUGCCUGCGCAGUGACUUUCGUUGCAAGCAGCGCUAAGUCUGUAGCGGUGCGGAGCUCUUUGAAUGUCUCUUGAUCCCCAGCGUCAGAACCACUGCUCUUUCAGAGGGUCGGAGCUCGUCUCGCACAUAGCGUAUCGGAACACAUGCGCUUCGUGCAGACUGAGGGGCUCACGGGCUGUGAGCCAGCACGAGGACCACUUCAAAUUCAUCCUGCUCGACCUCACAGCCCUGCAGUGCCUCGUCAUGUGAAUCCUCGGGUAUCACAGAAGAGGCAGGUGGGAGGGUACGUGAGGCUGAAUCGUCCCUCAGAAUGAGGGCGAUUCGCGAGCAAAGUGUCUUGAGACCCAUGCCCUCGCAGUGAGGACAGUCUGUCUCCAUGAGCGCUCAUGCUGAUCUAAUGGCGGGAUGUGCCUCUUGAAGAAGGAACACUUACGGAACGACAUCUUUAAAAAAGACACGAACAAGAUACACAAAACCUGCCGAAGCGCUGCGGGGAAUCAGGAUGCUGAGGCCCAUUCACCUGUGAAGCAUCAAGCAGCGAGGCAGUGUGAUGUUUGCCGGAGCACUGCAGGGGAGCAGAAAGUCUUCCCGUGAAGAUUCCACCCGCUGACUCGUGUAUAACGACUGCGAAGUUAGAGGGCUUCUAGACAAGAGAUGAUCGCUGUCUUGAAGAAAUUCUGAGGAAAUGGUGUUCGUGCACCUGUUUUUAUAGCGGACAGUUUCGGGGCUCAAACACCAUAGCCAAUAUUAGAAUAUUGCCGUUAUUGUAGAGAGGUUUCAACUAGCUUGUGUAACAAGGCAUUCCCCUUAUGCGUUAAUAAACGCAAUGUCAAGUGUACUGAGUCGUAAGGGAACAUCAUAUUAUGUGCAGUUGUAGUGCUUUCAAUAUAGCACAGAGUGAAUAUAAUAUACAAAUCA
Long non-coding RNA from Myxocyprinus asiaticus (Chinese sucker), 2166 nucleotides. RefSeq lists it as uncharacterized. NCBI's taxonomy places the organism in Eukaryota, Metazoa, Chordata, Actinopteri, Cypriniformes, Catostomidae. The transcript is spliced from 2 exons. The record is from RefSeq and is a predicted model, not a curated record.